ACGCUCGACACCUACGGGUGGCAGCAGUGGGGAAUAUUGCACAAUGGGGGAAACCCUGAUGCAGCGACGCCGCGUGAAGGAAGAAGUAUCUCGGUAUGUAAACUUCUAUCAGCAGGGAAGAAAAUGACGGUACCUGACUAAGAAGCCCCGGCUAACUACGUGCCAGCAGCCACGGUAAUCUGAGCGGGCUGGCAAGGC
Molecule: ribosomal RNA, 198 nt
Filed under: uncultured bacterium
Lineage: Bacteria
Description: partial 16S ribosomal RNA
Rfam family: Bacterial small subunit ribosomal RNA
Source: RNAcentral